Molecule: ribosomal RNA, 418 nt
Filed under: Eurystylus sp. 013SNU-029
Lineage: Eukaryota; Metazoa; Arthropoda; Insecta; Hemiptera; Miridae
Description: partial large subunit ribosomal RNA
Rfam family: Bacterial large subunit ribosomal RNA (bases 292-418)
Source: RNAcentral
GUCUCUUAAUUGGGGGCUGGAAUGAAUGGUUGGAUGAAAAAUAUACUUUCUUUAUUUUAUAUAAAAAACUUUAUUUUUUAGUCAAAAAGCUAGAAUUUUUUUAUAGGACGAGAAGACCCUAUAGAACUUUAUUAAUCUUAAUAUAUAAUUUUUAUAUUUUAUUAAAAUGUUUUAUAUUAAGAUUAAUUGCGUUGGGGUGAUGAAAAAAAUAUUAUAACUUUUUUUAUUUUUCACAUUUAUUUAUGUUUUUUUGAUCCUUUAUUAUGGAUAAUAAGAUAAAGUUACCUUAGGGAUAACAGCGUUAUUUUUUUGGAGAGUUCAUAUCGAUAAAAAAGUUUGCGACCUCGAUGUUGGAUUAAAAUUAAUUGUAGGGGUAUAAUAUUACAAAUUAGGUCUGUUCGACCUUUAAAUUUUUACA